Molecule: long non-coding RNA, 8826 nt
Filed under: Equus caballus (horse)
Lineage: Eukaryota; Metazoa; Chordata; Mammalia; Perissodactyla; Equidae
Description: lncRNA (ENSECAG00000056135.1)
Source: RNAcentral
UUAAGUACGAGCUGGGUUGCCUGGCAGGCUGGCAGAGGUAAAGGUGGGGCAGAGGCAUCUGCUGCUCACCUGGGCCUGAGAAGUCCUAGGAGGUGCGCGGCCCAACCCAGGACAGAGCAACCCGGAAGAGACUGAGUUGCGGCUGGAAGAGUCCUGGCGGCGGAGUAGGACAGAGUUGGUAGGAAUGCUGUGUGGCUCUGAGCAACUUACUUAACCUCUCUGAACUGCUGUCUUCAUCUGCUAAGUGGAAAUAGCAAUACUUCCCUUGCUAGGUGGUUGGAGGAUUGGCAGUGGUUGCCUGGCAGCCAGCAUUCAGGCAGAGGCUGUUGUUAGUAACAAAGUCCUCAUCUGGUGUUCUGGAGGCCCAGCCACCACCCUCAGUCUCCUUCACAAAUCGAUUCUAUCCCAGCAUGUACUCUCACUGCCGUGCGGCGGUUCCCCCCAGCCUCGCUGCUCCCAGACCUGAACAGCACUGCUUCAAGGCAUCAGGCGAUGUGGGUUGGCUGACACGAAAUGGCCACUGAGGCUGUGGAAACACUCGUAGGUGCUGGGAAAGGGUUCUCCCAGUUCAGCUCUGCCUUGUCAUGACUCAGCUUCCCUCUGCUCUUGUCUUCCUAAGCUCCCAAGGAGCCGCGUUUCUGCCCUGUGCCCUGAGGGCGUCUGGCUGCCUCUUUCAUCGGUCUCUCAUGACCGUCAAGGCUUUGCCGCUUGGCCCCAGUGCUGUGGCUUGGAAAGAAAUACAGACCUUGGUGCACUGAAAUUCCUGGUGAGGCUCAGGGCCACGCAGACGGCCCUGAGCAUGUUCAAAUGUGUUUUUAGGUUAACAUCAAAAUGACAGCACCCCAUUUUUAAAUUUUCAAGAAGAUGCUGCUCCCAGUCUGAGAAAGUCUGGACGGGGGUCACCAGGACCUGGCGCAGUCCCCCCAGCCUCUUCCUCACGUGUGACGCCUCUUGUUGCUGACCCUCCGGGCUCACAGGAGGAGCGGUGGGUGUGGACCCAGAGCCCUCAGCGGUGGCUGGAGGUGGACCGCACACAGCGGCUGGAAGCUUUCCUCCUCCCUGUCUCCAAGCCCUUCACAAUGACAUUGCAGCUCCCUCCUCAAGGGGCGGGGCGCCUGUUCCCUGCCCUUGAUCCAGGUGCGCCUGAGGCUUGCUCUGACCAGAGAACGCAGUGGACGUGAGGGUGCCGGGUCUGAGCCAGGCCCCUGAGGCUGGUGGGCUUUCCCUCUCUCAUUCGCCCCUCAAUUCCUCCCUUUAAACCCAGAGUCCUUGGUUUUGGGAAGGUGGCUCAGGUCCAGAGCUCCUCCCACGAGGGGAAAGCACCCUGGCACCGUGUCGAGUGGAGAGAAGGUACAGAGCGGGGAGAGACACAGGAAGUCUGCAGGCCUCCUGUCCCCAGGGGGGAAAGGAUGCAGAGGCUGACCGUGCCUGCCUCCUCGUUGAAGAAACUCCAGCAAGCUGGGAGACUGAAAUUACCUGCUGGCCUCAGCGAAGCCCCAGGACAAGGACAGCGUGCCUUGUCCCCUGCAUGAUGGCCGGGCAGGGAAGGCUCCUCUGGUAGCAGCUGCUGUCAAACUGUGUCAUUCUGCAGAAGGGACACUCCAAGCUCAUAGAUGCUAUGCCACGUCCUCAAGCCAAGAGGAAGCAAAGGGCGGGCUGGGGCCAGCUCCCGACCAGACGUUCUCAGCCUCUAUCAGGACAUGUGCGGCCCUGCCUCCCACUGCUCCCUACAAAAUCCAGAUCCGCUCACAUCUGAGAUUCUCUCCUAAGGGUGGAGCUCCGUGAGAGCUGCAGUCAAGUCUGCUUCACUUCUCCAUGUUCCUGGUGUCCAGCACUCCGUCUGGCCAGAGGAGGAGCCGGGGGGGGCUCUGAGGGAGCUUUCCCGACUCCCUCCCACCGAGUGCAGGCUCAAAGUCUUCUGUCGCAGCAUGUGUACCUCUCUCAGGCAGUACUUUAAGCAUGUGUAUAACAGGAGUUCUUGUGCAUGGGCACCUGGGCAUCGGGCUUCCAGUGACGGGAACCAGAGCGUGGUCCAGGCAGAAUAACGACCCACCUAAACAGUCCACGUCCUGAUCCCCGGAACCUAUCUGUUGGAUCACUCACUCUGGGGGAAGCCGUGUCAUGAGCAGCCCCAUGGAGAGGUCUUUGCGGCAAGGAACUGCUGGCUGGUGCCGACAACCACAUGAGUCAGCUCGGAAGUCAAUUCUCCAGCUCCCGCUGAGCCUUGAGAUGACCAUGACUCUGUCCCACAGCUGGACACAACCUGAGAGAUGCCGAGCCAGAACGCCCAGCUAAGCUGCUCCUGAAUUCCUAACCCUCAGAAACUGUGAGAUAACAUUGUGUUGUUUGAAACCAUUAAGUUUUGGAGUAAUUUGUUAUGCAGCAAAAGUAAGAAAUAUCGGAAAUCCUUUUCCUUCACAGUUUUGAAAGCUUUGCUCUAUGGCUAAAGCUCUAGCUCUCCAGCGUUUCUGUUGAGAAAUCCAAAACAAUUCUGAGCCCGAUUCUUUGAACAUGACCCAUUUCCCCUGGAAGUUGUGGCACGUUCUCUUCAGCCCAUCUGUUCUGAGACUGGACAGUCAUUCGUCAUGUUGCGUCUCCAUGUUCCAUUGUGCUGGGCCCCUGGUGGGCUGCUUCAGUGUAGAAAUUCAUUUCUUUCACUUCUGGGACUUUUCUUGAAUUAUUUCAUUGACAAUUUACUCCUCUUCAUUUUCUCUAUUCUCCAUUCCUAGAAUUCUUUUUGUUCAUAUUUUGGAUCCGCUGGACCAGUCCUUAUUUUCUUACUCACUGCCCUCUUUUCCUCUAUUUUCCAUUUCUGUGUUUUUUGUCUUGCUUUCUGGGUCAUUUCUUUAUCCUCCAAUCUUUUAGUAAAGCUUUUUAUUUUCGUUUUUAUUCUGUGUUCUCUUCUUUUGUUGUUUUUACGGAGUGUUCCCUUUUUAUAGCAUCUUGUUCUUAUGUCAAGGAUGCAGUAUCUUCUAUUAUCACUCUAGAAAUAUCAAUACUAGAGUUUUAGGGGAACUUUUUGGUUUGUUUCUUCAAAAGUCUUCUUCCUCUGCAUAGUCACUGUCUUUUCAAGUUGUUUUCUCUUGUUUAUUUUCUUUGAUCUCUCUCCUUCAUGUGGAUGUCUGGCAACCUUGGUUCCUCUGUUGAUAUUUAAGAGUGGAGCACUAAAGAAUUGACUGGAAGCUCUUAGGCUUUAGGGGGUUGAAUUUGUUCCCCUGAGCCUCACCUUGGGUGAUGUGGAUGGACCACUGUGGAUGGACUGUUGGCCCUUGUUCUGGCUGUCCAUCACUGUGUCCAAAGCUUUGUGGCUUCAAACUACAGCACUGGAAUUGCUCACCAGUGUGCCAUCAGGACAGUGCUCAGUGGGGACAGCUCGUUUCUGCCCCAUUCAGCAACAACUGACAUAGCUUGAAGGCUGGGGGAUGAAGGCUUGCUCACUUGUCUGGCAUCUGGGCUGGGGAGACCCAAACAGGUGGAGCUCACACAGCUGGGCCUCCUUGGGCUUUUCUCCAUCUCUGUGUGCUCUCUCCAGCAUGGUGGCUCCAGGGUAGGUACAUUCCCUACAUGUUGGCUCAGGGCUCCCAAAACACUUGCCCAAGAGAAACAGCGAGCCAGGGCAGAAGACGUAUCACUUUUUAUGACCCAGCAUUGGAGGUCAUAUCAUUUCUUUCCCUAAAGCAGUCACAAAGGCCCACCCAGGCUUAAGGGAGGGAGAAUAGACCCCACCUCCUGAUAGGAGAAGUGUCAAAAUUCUGGAAGAGCAUAUGAGACCGGAGAUAUUGUUAUAGCCAUUUUUGAUACAAAGUAUCAUAAUACUUAAGUACACUGUGUGCUAGAAAAUUCGUUGUAUUAGUUCCCUAUUGCUGCCAUAACAAAUAAUCACAAGUUUAGUUCUUUUUUUUUUUUAAACUCUGACUUUAUUUUUAUUUAUUCUUUUUUUUAAGAUUUUUAUUUUUUCCUUUUUCUCCCCAAAGCCCCCCGGUACAUAGUUGUAUAUUCUUCGUUGUGGGUCCUUCUAGUUGUGGCAUGUGGGACGCUGCCUCAACGUGGUUUGAUGAGCAGUGCCAUGUCCGCGCCCAGGAUUCGAACCAACAAAACACUGGGCCACCUGCAGCGGAGCGCGUGAACUUAACCACUUAGCCACGGGGCCAACCCCUCUUUUUUUAUUUUUUAAAGAUUUUAUUUUUUCCUUUUUCUCCCCAAAGCCCCCCGGUACAUAGUUGUAUAUUCUUCGUUGUGGGUCCUUCUAGUUGUGGCAUGUGGGACGCUGCCUCAGCGUGGUUUGAUGAGCAGUGCCAUGUCUGUGCCCAGGAUUCAAACCAACGAAACACUGGGCCGCCUGCAGCGGGGUGCACGAACUUAACCACUCAGCCAUGGGGCCAGCCCCUAGUUCUUUAAAAACCACAAAUUUAUUGUUGUACAGUUCUGGACUUCAGAACUCCAAAAUGGAUCAGAAGUCCAGUGGGCCAAAUCAAGGGCUUGGCGGAGCCACACUCCCUCUCGAGGCUGCAGGGGAGAAUCCAUUUCCUUGUCUUUUCCUGCUUCUAGAAGCCGCCUACCUUCCUUGGCUUGUGGCCCCUUCCUCCAUCUUCACAGCACAUCACUCCAACCUUUUCUUCCAUUGUCACCUGCAAAGUCCAUUUUGCCCUGUAAGGUCCCAUACUCACAGAUUCUGUGGACUAGGAUGUGGACAUCUUUGGGGGGACAUUAUUCUGUAUACCAUAAUCAUGCACGUGGAGCCACUCAUUGCCUAGUGAUUUUGCAGUUAAUCAAUUAGUGAUUCGUGCGUAUCUUUCACACCUGGCAGAGUGCUCCAGUGGACACAAGCACCCUUCAUCCUUAUUCCUGGAGUGCCUUAUACCCUCCAGCUGGAAGCUUCCUUUGCAAGGCACAACCCAACCCUGGGUUUGCAGAAGCUCCUGACUGGCAUCAGCUCUAAACACCUUCCUCCUCAUACAUCAGACGGCUCGCUGAUCCCAGAAUUCUGAGCAAAUACAGUUCCACGUUCUCUUGCGAGCCUUCCCCAAUGCAGAGAAGCUAUCUGACACCAUGGAAAGAGCUCAGUUCAUACGUCUGGUGAAUACUUGGGCAACACUCUGACUCUCUCUAGACUUCAUUCCCCUUGGCUUUAACCUGGGAGGUGACACAGAUGAGAGGAGACACGUGAUCAGAGCCAAGUCCCACCUGUGUUUAAACUCAACUCGGUAGAUAAGCUCCUGAUGGACAGGUCAGAGAGGUGACAGUACAAGGGAGGCAGACGGAGUGCAGCAGGACAGGAGAGAGCCUUUCAGGAGCACGCUGCCUAGUAUCCACCCGCCGGGCUUCAGGCGGGCUGGGCCGCUCCCACGGUGCAGCCCCACCUGGACUCUGAAGUCCUGACCUCCCAUGCUCACCUCGCCACCUCCCACUCUUCCAGCCCUCCGCCACCUACUAAGUCUGCUCCUCCAGCUUGUCAAGGACGCUCAUUUCAUCUUUCUUUUCUAUAAUGAGAAAUUUCAAAACUACAGAACAGUGUAGAGAGCAAAAUAGCACACAUCCAUUUACCACCUGCUCGGUAGUGAUAAUUUUAACGAAGUUUGCUUCCAAUUUUUUUUUAAAGGCAUGAAAGCCUACAGGUAUAAUUGAAGUCCCAUGUGUUUGCCUUCUCAGUUCCUUUUCCCUUCCUAAGCUUAAUUAACUCUUUCCCUGCUAGAGGAAAGCACCAUCUCGACUUUGCUGUGUCCACGGUUUUAUUCUUCCCACACAUGUGUUCACCCAUAAAUAAUAGAUAACACCAUUCUACGUGUUUCAAAGAUUACAGACAUGAUCCAAAGCUACGUACAAACUCAAUGCAAUCCCUAUUAAAAUUCUAAGAGCAUUCUCCACAGAAAUGGAAAAGCUGAUCCUCAGAUGCAUAUGGCAUUGCAAGGGACCUCCAAUAGUCAAAACAAUCCUGAAAAAGAAGAAUUAGGUUGAGGACCCCACACUUUCUGAUUUCAAAACUUACUACAAAACUACAGUAAUUAAAACAUACUGGCCUAAGGAUGAUCAUAUAGACCAAUGGAAUAUAAUAGAGAGCCCAGAAAUAAACCCUCCCAUGUAUGGUCAGUUGAUUUUUGAUAAGGGUGCCAAGAUCGUUCAGUGGAGAAAGGACAGUCUUUCUAACAAAUGAUGCUGGGAAAACUGGAUAUCCCCAUGCCGAAGAAGUUGGACCUCUUACCUAACACUAUACACAAAAAGUAACUCAAUAUGGAUCAAAGACACAAACUUAAGAGCUAAAACUUUAAAAUUCUUCUAAGAAAACAUAGGGGAAAAUCUUCUUGACAUUGAAUUUUGCAACAAUGUCAUGGAUUUGACACCAAAAGUGCAGGUAACGAAAGGAAAAAUAAACUCAACUCCAUUGAAAUUUAGUCGAAGUUUUUAAAUUUGCUGGCAUAAAGUUUUUUGAUAAUAAUCUCUUUUUAUCUUCUUACAUCUGCAGGAUCUUUUUUGUUGCUCAUAUUGGUGACUUAUUUUGUUUUUCUUUUAUCUGGGAGUUUAUCAAUUUCAUCAUUUUUUUAAUAACCAAACUUUUUGCUUUGUUGAUCUUCUCUGUUGUAUAUCUGCUUUGUAUUUCAUUGAUUUGGAUUCCUAUUUUUAUUAUUUCCUUCUUUCUUUUUUCCUUGGGUUUAAGUUGCUGUUCAAAUUUAGAUAACUGUCUUUAAACUAUUUUCUCGUGUAACGUAUGCAUUUAAAGGUAUAAAUUUCUUUCUAAUCACUGCUUUGCCUAUUUGCCUCAGGCAUUUGUAUGCAGUAUUUUGAUUUUCAUUCUGUUCAAAGUAUUUUCUAUUCUCCUGUGUGGUUUCUUCCUUGAGCCACGGGUUAUUUACAAGUGUUCUGUUUCACAUCCAAACGUUUGGGGUUUCUAAGAAUCUUUCUCUUGUUCAUUUCUAGUUUAAUUCCACUUUGGUCAGAGAUCACACCCGGCAUGAUUUCACCUUUGGAAGUUUGUUAAGACUUGCUUUAUGGCCCAGCACAUGUUCUAUUUUGGUAACUAUGCCCUCGAAAAGGAAGUGUGUUCGCCCCUUGCGGGGUGCAGCCCUCUGUAACUGUUUAUUAAGUCAAGUUGAUUCAUUCUGCUGUUCAUAUUUUCUAUAUACUUUUACAUCUUUCAUCUCCUUUUUCUAUCAGUUGCUGAGAGAUUUGUUAAAAAUCUCCAGCUAUGACUACAGACUUGCCUAUUUGUCUCUUUUAUUCUGGAAAUACUCUAUUUCGUGUAUUGUGUAGCUCUGUUAUUAGGUGCAUACACAUUUACGAUUGUUACAUCUUCCGUUGAAUUAACCCUUUCAUCAUUAUGAAACGUCGCUCUUUACUUCCCUUACUACCACUUCUGGCUCUAAGGUCUAUUUUGUUUGAUAUCAAUAGAGCCACACCUUUUAUUUGGUGAGUAUUUGCAUGAUAUAACUUUUAUCAUCUUUUUAUUUUUUACCUUUCUAUGUCCUAUAUUUAAAGCGUAUUUUCUAAAUACCUAAUAGCUUUAGAACCAAACUGUUCAGGGCGGGUAGAGAAAGAAAGGGAAUGGAAAUAGAAGCAUGAAUUGCCCUUAUUUUUGAAGAAAAUUUAUGCUGGCUACACAACUUUUCUUUCUGCAAAGAUGCCAUCCCAUCGUCUUCUGGUUUCAUAGUUACAGUUGACAAAUCAGCCACAACUCAUCGUUGCUACUUUGAAUGUCACGUGUUUUAUCUUUCCGGCUGCUUGUCUUAUUUUCAGUUUGACGAUGAUGUGCCUAUGUGUGAUUUUCUUUGUAUUUCUUUUCCUUGGGAUUGACUGAGCUUUGCGAAUCCGUGAGUUGAUGUCUUUAUCUGAUUUUGAAAAUUCUUGUCCUUUAGCUCUUCAGAUUUCACUUGCCAUAUUCUCUUUCCCUCCUCUGUUUCUGGGAAUCCAGUGAUAUGUAUGUUAGACCUCUGACUGUGUUCCAUUAUCUGUCUUAUACUCUGAUCUGUUAUUUUAAUUGUUUUCUCUCUCUGUGCUUCAGUUUGAGUAUUUUCUAUAUACCUGUCUUUCAGCUCACUAAUCCUAUCAUCUCCUGUGUUUAGGUUGCCAUUAAAUCCACUCAAUGAAUUCUUAAUCUCAGAUACCAAAUUUUUUCAGUUCUUGAAUGUCUAUUUGAAUAUUUAUAAAUUCCAAUUCUCUGUAGAAAUUCUCCAUCUUUUCAUUCAUUUUGUCCAUCUUUUUCUACAUAUUCUUUUUGUAUUCUAUUAUACUAGUUAUUUUUAAAUCCUUGUCUGAUAACUCCAAUAGCUAAGUUAUCUGUGUUGUGAUGGUAGGUUGAACACCUCCAGCCAAAAUUUGGUUCAAACGUCAAGAUUGAUGACAUCACACACCAAGAGAAGAUGAAAAGAUUUAUUAUUUACAUAUGAAGAUUUCUGGGGAGAGCCUGGAAACUUCCCAAGGAGGUCUAAAAAUGGGUUAAGAGAGCAGAGAAAGGAGACUGGCUUUGGGGUCAUUAGAGGGCAGUGUUAAAAUUAAUAAAGGAAAUCUCAAAUAAAAUUGGAGUCAGGAAGGCCUGUAGAGGGAGCUCUCAUGUCCUACCACUCAAUUACCCCAAACAGGAAGAUGUCAAUUACAGACCCCAACAGGAAGAAGCAUCAGUUACCAACCUCAAGAGGAAGAGAUGUGCCUUACAAUCCCAAACAGGAAGUGCAACUACUUUACUACUCCAGUAAGGGGAAGACUUCCUUCUUGCCCAGCAAUAAGCACAACCAAUGGAAAACACUGCAGCCCAGUCAAUGAGAAUCUGUUGUCACUUGAACUAUCUCUCUAUUGCCAGAUGAAAUGCUACCUGAUUCAUGAAUUAUUUAAUAAAGU